RNAcentral lists this long non-coding RNA (245 nucleotides) under Hordeum vulgare. RNAcentral's name for it is "long non-coding RNA (HVUL_LNC019851)". The record is from RNAcentral. Lineage: Eukaryota; Viridiplantae; Streptophyta; Magnoliopsida; Poales; Poaceae.
GCCGCAUCGCCUUCCAUCGAGGUAUUCUUUACUUUGAGAUAUUCUGUAUUUACCAGGGUAACUCAUUCACAUUGAGCGUAAGCUAACCAUAUGUAAAUCACCGGUGGUAAACAUCCAUUUAGGCACGGUCUCUGGCGGAAGUACCUGUUGAAGAACAUGAGUAAUAAUAACAUAGUUAGCUAAACUAGUUUUGUUUAAGAACAAUGUAUGAAAAAGAUGAACUAAUGACGCAAUGGUAAAAAAAC